UACAGAGGGUGCGAGCGUUAAUCGGAAUUACUGGGCGUAAAGCGCGCGUAGGCGGCUUUGCAAGUCGGGUGUGAAAUCCCCAGGCUUAACCUGGGAACUGCAUUCGAGACUGCAUUGCUAGAGUAUGGGAGAGGGAAGUGGAAUUUCCGGUGUAGCAGUGAAAUGCGUAGAUAUCGAGAGGAACACCAGUGGCGAAGGCGAGUCCCUGGACAAAACCUGACACUGAGGCACGAAAGCUAGGGGAGCAAACAGG
This 253-nucleotide ribosomal RNA is filed under the name uncultured bacterium. RNAcentral's name for it is "partial 16S ribosomal RNA". It matches the Rfam family "Bacterial small subunit ribosomal RNA", at positions 524 to 776 of the family's 1533-position model. The record is from RNAcentral.